This 468-nucleotide ribosomal RNA is filed under the name uncultured bacterium. RNAcentral describes it as "partial 16S ribosomal RNA". It matches the Rfam family "Bacterial small subunit ribosomal RNA", at positions 28 to 507 of the family's 1533-position model. The record is from RNAcentral.
GACGAACGCUGGCGGCGUGCUUAACACAUGCAAGUCGAACGGAAAGGCCCUGCUUUUGUGGGGUGCUCGAGUGGCGAACGGGUGAGUAACACGUGAGUAACCUGCCCUUGACUUUGGGAUAACUUCAGGAAACUGGGGCUAAUACCGGAUAGGAGCUCCUGCUGCAUGGGGGGGGUUGGAAAGUUUCGGCGGUUGGGGAUGGACUCGCGGCUUAUCAGCUGGUUGGUGGGGUAGUGGCUUACCAAGGCUUUGACGGGUAGCCGGCCUGAGAGGGUGACCGGCCACAUUGGGACUGAGAUACGGCCCAGACUCCUACGGGAGGCAGCAGUGGGGAAUAUUGCACAAUGGGCGGAAGCCUGAUGCAGCAACGCCGCGUGCGGGAUGACGGCCUUCGGGUUGUAAACCGCUUUCGCCUGUGACGAAGCGUGAGUGACGGUAAUGGGUAAAGAAGCACCGGCUAACUACGUG